Molecule: ribosomal RNA, 253 nt
Filed under: uncultured bacterium
Lineage: Bacteria
Description: partial 16S ribosomal RNA
Rfam family: Bacterial small subunit ribosomal RNA
Source: RNAcentral
UACAGAGGUGGCAAGCGUUGUUCGGAAUUACUGAGCGUAAAGGGCGCGUAGGCGGCCUUCUAAGUCAGACGUGAAAUCCCCCGGCUUAACCUGGGAACUGCGUCUGAUACUGGAAGGCUUGAGUGCGGGAGAGGAACGCGGAAUUCCAGGUGUAGCGGUGAAAUGCGUAGAUAUCUGGAGGAACACCGGUGGCGAAGGCGGCGUUCUGGACUGCAACUGACACUGAGGAACGAAAGCCAGGGGAGCAAACGGG